Molecule: long non-coding RNA, 279 nt
Filed under: Gossypium barbadense (sea-island cotton)
Lineage: Eukaryota; Viridiplantae; Streptophyta; Magnoliopsida; Malvales; Malvaceae
Description: long non-coding RNA (GBAR_LNC008256)
Source: RNAcentral
UGAUUGUGAAUAUAUGUUGGUGAUAUGAAUGACUUGACUGUGAUUGUUUGAUUCAAAUAUGGGCAUGACAUUCUGCAUACAUGACAUGUUGUAUGGGUUGGGAUUUUGUACGGAGGAAGCGUUCUGGUGGCUAUGCCACAAAUAUCUGUUCUGGUGGCUCUGCCACAAUAUCUGUAUUUGGUGACUUUGUCACAAUAUCUGUUGACCGAUCGAUGGCUAAGUGCCGAUCACGCUACCGAAGGCUGUGUGCCGUUGUUGUGGGCUUCGUGCCGAUUAUAG